AAGUCGAGCGGAGACAGUGAGUAGCUUGCUAUGAGCUGUUUUAGCGGCGGACGGGUGAGUAACGCGUGAGCAACCUUUCCCAGACAGGGGAAUAACACAGCGAAAGGUGUACUAAUACCGCAUAAGACCACGGAAUCACAUGGUUCUGGGGUAAAAGAUUUAUCGGUUUGGGGUGGGCUCGCGUCCGAUUAGGUAGUUGGUGAGGUAACGGCCCACCAAGCCGACGAUCGGUAGCCGACCUGAGAGGCUCUUCGGCCACAUUGGGACUGAGAUACGGCCCAGACUCC
RNAcentral lists this ribosomal RNA (287 nucleotides) under uncultured Eubacteriales bacterium. RNAcentral's name for it is "uncultured Clostridiales bacterium partial 16S ribosomal RNA". It matches the Rfam family "Bacterial small subunit ribosomal RNA", at positions 59 to 339 of the family's 1533-position model. The record is from RNAcentral. Lineage: Bacteria; Bacillati; Bacillota; Clostridia; Eubacteriales.